Molecule: long non-coding RNA, 1070 nt
Organism: Spinacia oleracea (spinach)
Lineage: Eukaryota; Viridiplantae; Streptophyta; Magnoliopsida; Caryophyllales; Amaranthaceae
Exons: 2
Source: RefSeq, a predicted model, not a curated record
UUGGUUAUUGCUUCCAGUUUCCCACUUUAUUAAAUAAUAAUAAUAGAAAAAAGGUAAAAGCACUCCCUAGUUUCAACCUACCUCAGCCCCCACCUACCCCACCCCACCUCCUUUAAUAAAGGAAGAUGCAAUCCCCACCAACCCCCAACUUCACGUAAAAAAAACCACGCUACUCUUUCUCUUCCUUCUCCAAACAUCAAUGGCCAUCUUUUCUAGUUUGAGUUCUCUGUUUCUUCUCCUUUUCUGUGAAGUACUCGGUCCAUUCGUAUCGGGCUAUCUCGGGUGAUUUUGGACCAUAUCAGUCGAACAGGGUGAAAUAUCGCCUUUUUAGAAAAGGUCAUGAUAAAUCACUAAGUAUUGGUUCACCAUACUAAAAAUCCGAGUUAGAUCGGGCGAGACGAGUUAACUCGCGAGAGUUUUUACUCUAUGGCCCCUCCACAUGCAUCUUGGGUAGUGAGGAAAAUUUUUGAUGCUAUGAAGUUUAUUCAUAAUUUGCCUGAUAGGAAAGUUUUACAACAUCAUACUUUCUCUAUUAGGAACUUGUAUGACAACAUGAGAGGAAUGGCGGCUGCAGUUCCUUGGAAGAAAUUAACAUACAGAAGGACGAGAGUAUUUCUCAUUUACUCUUUGAUGGUGAGUACUCUACUAGUGUAUGGUCUGAAGCUUUAAGAUGGAUAUAUUAGAAGAACUCCCGGUAAAGUUGCAAGUGCUAGCUUCUAGUUGGAGUACCAAGGCCGAGAAGCAUCAGAGAUACAGGUAGUGUUAUGCAUUGCAGUGUACUUAAUAUGGAGAGAGCGGAAUGCCAGGAAAUUCCAAAAUAUUCAACAUCCUCAUGUGUUAGCGCUUGCUCAAUUGAAGAUGAUAGCAUGUAUAUGCUGUUUAAAGAAGAAGAAGUUAGAACAUGCUAUUGCUAAACUAGUUCAGUGUUUUUGAAUUUAAGCUUGUGGUUUUGCGUGUUUGGUUGUAUUUGUUGUUAUGAAGUUUGUAUUCCCUGUUUGGUAUCAUUAUAAUCCUUUAUUUUACCAAAAAAAAUAAAAUAAUCAAGUUACUAAUUUAUAGUUAUUAACAAA